Molecule: ribosomal RNA, 253 nt
Filed under: Salmonella enterica
Lineage: Bacteria; Pseudomonadati; Pseudomonadota; Gammaproteobacteria; Enterobacterales; Enterobacteriaceae
Description: partial 23S ribosomal RNA
Rfam family: Bacterial large subunit ribosomal RNA
Source: RNAcentral
GACCGGAGUGGACGCAUCACUGGUGUUCGGGUUGUCAUGCCAAUGGCACUGCCCGGUAGCUAAAUGCGGAAGAGAUAAGUGCUGAAAGCAUCUAAGCACGAAACUUGCCCCGAGAUGAGUUCUCCCUGAGACUUAGAGUCUCCUGAAGGAACGUUGAAGACGACGACGUUGAUAGGCCGGGUGUGUAAGCGCAGCGAUGCGUUGAGCUAACCGGUACUAAUGAACCGUGAGGCUUAACCUUACAACGCCGAAG